AGGAGCAGGAGGAGGGAGAGAGGAGGAUUUGGAAAAGGAGGAACAGGAGGAGGAAGAGGAAGAGCUGCAGCAGAACCACAGGGUUUUCCCGCCCACUCGCUGAGUCUGCAGCUCUCCUGGCCCUGGCAGCCUCGACCCCCCCCAGAUCUCACAGCCAGGAUUUGUCAAUCCCAAACUUUGUCUGGAUGGAGGUGGAGGAGGCUGCAAGGAAAAGGAAGAAUGGUGUGGGACACUGAGGCAGCUGAGGAGGAAGUCACUGCCCCUUUCCCCCUCUCCUCUGCUCCACCUAUCAGCCCAGCAUUUCCUGUGCCUGCAGGCCAAGGCCAUCCUGCCAGGGAUGAAUUGGUGGGAUCUCCUUCCCCUUCCCUGUGGCACAAUGCCCAGGCACUGAGCUGCAGACGGAGACCAGGGAGAGCAAAUCCCUGCUGCAGAACCUCAUGGAAGAGGCUGUUUGGAGCAGCUCCAUGGCACAGGAAUCCAGUGGGGAGGAAAAGCCCUGGAGAUCCCACACAAGGAGGGGCUGCAGAUCCCCUGGAGAUGUAAAUAGGAAAGAUGCCCCCUAUGCCAGGAAGGCAGCUGGAGAUCCAUUUGGAACUCAGAGGUGGUGGAGAGGACUCAUGGCAGGCAGAAGCCCCACAAGUGCUUGGGAUGUGGGAAGGGCUUCAGCCAGAGCUCUGGAGCUCACACCUGGUCCAGGUGAUCCCCACAGGGAACUGGCCCUACAAGUGUGGGGAGUGUGGGAAGGGCUUUGGGUGGAGCUCCAACCUCAUCAGUCACCGCAAGAUCCACACCAGGAGAGACCCUGUGAGUGUCCCGAGUGUAGGAAGUGGUUUCUGAGCAGCUCCAAUCUCAUCAUAAUGAAUCAAGGGAUCAGCUGGAAAUGUAUUUACAAUAAUUGAAAACUGUGGAUGAGUUGAGGGGCUAGCUGGGAAUAUAAUUGAGAUAGUAGAAGAUUACAUAUUUUAGUUAAGAUUUAAAAUUAGUUAAGAAGCUAAGUUAACUAGCAAAAAUCACAUACCUUAGUGAAAGAGUAACAAAUAUAUUAGAAAGUAAAGCCAGGAGUGACAGAGAUAGAUGUAGCAAUUGUGAAGGAGCAGAGACCAUAGAAAUACCUUGCCUUAAGAAUAAUCAAACAGUUUUAUAAUCACAGUCUAAAGAAGAAUAAUCACAGUCCAAACAGAGAGGCUUGGACUGUGACCAGCAGAUCACAAAGUCCUGCAAACUGGCCAUGGGUGAGGAGUUUACCAUGAGGAAGACAGCUUUCUUCCUCCCAUAUGCCCACUCCUUUAUUUCAAAAUCCCACUGACCCAAUUAAGGGAGGGCAAUUGCGCAGCCAUAUUAGGUAUUCAGCUGAUUAUAACACAAAGUGGGCAGGUAAUGAUUCUGUAUUCUGCCUCCUUAGAAACUGCCUGGAUAUGUAAAACCUUUUCUGUAUAAACAGAGAGCAGGAGUCUGCCACUCCUUGCACAUGCAUUUGGAAAUGAUUCCUCAUGUGUCCAGUGCUGAAAUAAAACAGCCUUCUUUUGAACUUUAA
Haemorhous mexicanus (house finch) is the source of this 1534-nucleotide long non-coding RNA. RefSeq lists it as uncharacterized. The record is from RefSeq and is a predicted model, not a curated record. The transcript is spliced from 3 exons. NCBI's taxonomy places the organism in Eukaryota, Metazoa, Chordata, Aves, Passeriformes, Fringillidae.